This 433-nucleotide ribosomal RNA is filed under the name uncultured bacterium. RNAcentral's name for it is "partial 16S ribosomal RNA". It matches the Rfam family "Bacterial small subunit ribosomal RNA", at positions 29 to 507 of the family's 1533-position model. The record is from RNAcentral.
AACGAACGCUGGCGGCAGGCCUAACACAUGCAAGUCGAGCGAGGACUUCGGUCCUAGCGGCGGACGGGUGAGUAACGCGUGGGAACGUGCCCUUUGCUUCGGAAUAGCCCUGGGAAACUGGGAGUAAUACCGGAUGAGCUCAUUGGGGGAAAGACUUAUCGGCGAAGGAUCGGCCCGUGUUGGAUUCGGUAGUGGGUGGGGUAAUGGCCUACCAAGCCGACGAUCCAUAGCUGGCUUGAGAGGAUGAUCAGCCACACUGGGGCUGAGACACGGCCCAGACGCCGACGGGGGGGAGCAGUAGGGAGUAUUAGAGAAGGGGGGAAACCGUGAUGUAGCCGUGCCGCGGGAGACAUGAAGGCCUUAGGGUUGUAAAGCUCUUUCAGCUGGGAAGAUAAUGACGGUACCAGCAGAAGAAGCCCCGGCUAACUCCGUG